CCCUUAGAUGUCCUGGGCCGCACGCGCGCUACACUGAACGAAUCAGCGCGUUUUCCCUUCCCGAGAGGGACGGGUAACCUGCUGAACCCCGUUCGUGGUAGGGAUCGGGGCUUGCAAUUAUUCCCCGUGAACCAGGAAUGCCCAGUAAGUGCAAGUCAUAAGCUUGCGUUGAUUACGUCCCUGCCCUUUGUACACACCGCCCGUCGCUACUACCGAUUGAACGUUUUAGUGAGGUACUCGGACUGAGCCUCAGAAGAUUCACGUCUUUUGUGCUGCUCGGGAAGAUUCCCAAACUUGAGCGUUUAGAGGAAGUAAAAGUCGUAACA
RNAcentral lists this ribosomal RNA (326 nucleotides) under uncultured eukaryote. Its description in RNAcentral is "partial 18S ribosomal RNA". It matches the Rfam family "Eukaryotic small subunit ribosomal RNA", at positions 1470 to 1796 of the family's 1831-position model. The record is from RNAcentral.